GGGCCCGCACAAGCGGUGGAGCAUGUGGUUUAAUUCGAUGCAACGCGAAGAACCUUACCUGGUCUUGACAUCCACGGAAGUUUUCAGAGAUGAGAAUGUGCCUUCGGGAACCGUGAGACAGGUGCUGCAUGGCUGUCGUCAGCUCGUGUUGUGAAAUGUUGGGUUAAGUCCCGCAACGAGCGCAACCCUUAUCCUUUGUUGCCAGCGGGUCCGGCCGGGAACUCAAAGGAGACUGCCAGUGGAUAAAACCGUGGGAAGGUAAGGGG
This 266-nucleotide ribosomal RNA is filed under the name uncultured prokaryote. Its description in RNAcentral is "partial 16S ribosomal RNA". It matches the Rfam family "Bacterial small subunit ribosomal RNA", at positions 917 to 1180 of the family's 1533-position model. The record is from RNAcentral.